UACGUAGGGCGCAAGCGUUGUCCGGAAUUAUUGGGCGUAAAGAGCUCGUAGGCGGCUUGUCACGUCGGGGGUGAAAGUCCGGGGCUCAACUCCGGAUCUGCGGUGGGUACGGGCAGACUAGAGUGAUGUAGGGGAGACUGGAAUUCCUGGUGUAGCGGUGAAAUGCGCAGAUAUCAGGAGGAACACCGAUGGCGAAGGCAGGUCUCUGGGCAUUAACUGACGCUGAGGAGCGAAAGCAUGGGGAGCGAACAGG
RNAcentral lists this ribosomal RNA (253 nucleotides) under uncultured bacterium. RNAcentral's name for it is "partial 16S ribosomal RNA". It matches the Rfam family "Bacterial small subunit ribosomal RNA", at positions 524 to 776 of the family's 1533-position model. The record is from RNAcentral.